RNAcentral lists this ribosomal RNA (459 nucleotides) under uncultured Rhodococcus sp. RNAcentral describes it as "bacterial SSU rRNA". It matches the Rfam family "Bacterial small subunit ribosomal RNA", at positions 328 to 797 of the family's 1533-position model. Lineage: Bacteria; Bacillati; Actinomycetota; Actinomycetes; Mycobacteriales; Nocardiaceae. The record is from RNAcentral.
CGCCCCCGCCCCUACGGGAGGCAGCAGUGGGGAAUAUUGCACAAUGGGCGAAAGCCUGAUGCAGCGACGCCGCGUGAGGGAUGACGGCCUUCGGGUUGUAAACCUCUUUCAGCAGGGACGAAGCGCAAGUGACGGUACCUGCAGAAGAAGCACCGGCUAACUACGUGCCAGCAGCCGCGGUAAUACGUAGGGUGCAAGCGUUGUCCGGAAUUACUGGGCGUAAAGAGUUCGUAGGCGGUUUGUCGCGUCGUUUGUGAAAACCAGCAGCUCAACUGCUGGCUUGCAGGCGAUACGGGCAGACUUGAGUACUGCAGGGGAGACUGGAAUUCCUGGUGUAGCGGUGAAAUGCGCAGAUAUCAGGAGGAAUACCGGUGGCGAAGGCGGGUCUCUGGGCAGUAACUGACGCUGAGGAACGAAAGCGUGGGUAGCGAACAGGAUUAGAUACCCUGGUAGAAUCGA